Molecule: ribosomal RNA, 403 nt
Filed under: uncultured bacterium
Lineage: Bacteria
Description: partial 16S ribosomal RNA
Rfam family: Bacterial small subunit ribosomal RNA
Source: RNAcentral
AUCGAACGCUGGCGGCAGGCCAAACACAUGCAAGUAGAGCGAGCGGCGGACGGGUGAGCAAUGUAUGGGGACUGCCCGAUAGAGGGGGAUAACUACUUGAUACGGUAGCUAAUACCGCAUACUACCGGAUAACCCAUAUGGGAUUCGCUAGUAGGUGAGGUAAUGGCUCACCUAGGCGACGAUCCCUAGCUGGUCUGAGAGGAUGAUCAGCCACACUGCGACGGAGACACGGCCCGGGCUCCUACGGAGGCAGCAGUGGGAAGUAUUACAGAAAAGGCGCAGGCCUGAUGCAGCCAUGCCGCGUAUAUGACGACGGACCUAGGGUUGUAAAGUACUUUCAGUCGAGAGGCAUUACCGGCGGAGGAUGCACCGGCUAACUCCGGGCCAGCAGCCGCGGUAAUAC